AAAUUGUUAAUUCGCCUCUACGCUAACGGACUGGAGUAAUUUACACGUACCUCAGUGAGAUUAAAAUAUCCAUAAAAUAUUAGAAAUUACAGAGUAUUUACAUAUAUCAACUCACCAUAGCAUCAAACAAAAUUGGCUAGAACUCUGAUAAAAGUAAAAACAGUAUGGUUCUGGCUUAUAUUUUACCUGCAGUAAUUAAAGUUUAAUCACGGCCAUUAUUCUCACCUUGCCAUGUCCAAACAAUAUCUUUAAGGGGAGGCCGUACAUCUUCUUCACAGAACUUUUUAUAUUCUAAGGUGUCUCCGGCAGAUUUUGAGAAUUCAACAAUCGCCACUUGUGGUGCAACUUCGAAAACUUCAGCCAUGACUGACAAUUUCCCUUUUCGCCCAUUCGAUGUUCCUUGCAUCUUCACCUUGAAUUCCUUAGCGGAUACAAUCUGAAAAUUCACCUUCUUCGCUAAAGAUUCGAGUUUUGACAUGAUCGUUGAAGCAGAGCAUUUCGAUGUGAAAAGAGAACCGGAUUUCUUUUUACCUUCAAAAAGGCUCGAUAAAUCGAAACCUGAAGACAUUGACGAUAUGAAUUCAAAUGCGUUGUAAAAAGGUGGGGCUGAUUUUGAUCUAGCUCCCAAACUUGGUUCUUUGGUUUCCUGUUUCUGAUCUGUGUUGUUUUCUUCGAUGGAAGAAAAAGAAGAAGAUCGAUUGAAUUCUUUGAUAAACCAAGGGACUUUUGUUACAGCUGAAAUUGUAAUUCUUUUUUCUGGAUCAGCUACUAGAAGCUUUGAUAUCAGUUUCUUAGCUUCAGGGGAAAACCAUGGAGGAAAUUCAUAUUCACCUUUAAAGACUUUUCGAUACAUCUUCAUCAAAUUCUCGUGUUUAAAUGGUAGAAAUCCAGCUAAAAGAACAUAUAAAAUAACCCCACAAGACCAAAUAUCAGAUUUAGCACCAUCAUACCCUUUUUUCCUCAAAACUUCAGGGGCAACAUAAGCUGGAGUUCCACACCGUGUAUGAAGCAAACCAUCGCUCCUCAAUUGCUCAGACAAAGCUGAUAACCCAAAAUCAGACACCUUCAAGUUUUCAUUUUCAUCAAGGAGUAAGUUCUCAGGUUUCAAAUCGCGGUGAAAUACACCGCGACUAUGGCAGAAAUCAACAGCGCUAAUCAAUUGCUGAAAGUAUUUUCUUGCAACAUCUUCCUUAAGUUUGCCAUUAGCAACUUUUGCGAAAAGCUCACCCCCUUUAACAUAUUCCAUAACUACAAAGAUUUUUUGUUUCGUAGCCAUAACUUCUUUGAUUUCCACGAUGUUUGGAUGUCGAACUAAUCGCAUGAUUGAAAUUUCUCGAAUGAUUUGCUCCAUCAUUCCUUCUCUUUUAACAUGAUCUUUGUUGAUUACUUUAAUCGCUACGCUUUCACAAGUUUUGAUAUCUCUGCUAUAAUAAACCUUUGCAAAUGUUCCUUGGCCUAAUAGCCUCCCCAUCUCGUACUUCCCGAAUAUAAUACUUCUCGAACCAUCCAUUAAAUGAUCCAUUUCUUGCUUCGAUUGAUCAAUUUGAUCUUCCAUAAAGCUGAAAAAUGGUUUAAGCAGAUGCAAGAAGUGAGGUUUAAAGAUGGAAUCUUUGUUAAUUCGAAUGGAAUAUACUUGAGAAUUGUGAAAAUGUGAAGUGGAAAAAACAGAGACUCAAAUAAAAGGA
RNAcentral lists this unclassified non-coding RNA (1685 nucleotides) under Hevea brasiliensis (rubber tree). Lineage: Eukaryota; Viridiplantae; Streptophyta; Magnoliopsida; Malpighiales; Euphorbiaceae. The record is from RNAcentral.